Molecule: small nuclear RNA, 104 nt
Filed under: Dasypus novemcinctus (nine-banded armadillo)
Lineage: Eukaryota; Metazoa; Chordata; Mammalia; Cingulata; Dasypodidae
Source: RNAcentral
GUGCUCCCUUCGGCAGCACAUAUGCUAAAAUUGGAACAAUACAGAUGAUUAGCAUGGCCCUGCACAAGGAUGACACUCAAAUUCAUGAAGCAUUCCAUAUUUUU